AUGGCUUCCGGCAGGCUCUGCUCCGUGCUGCUCGCCCUGCUGGUCGUCGUCCUGGCCACGCGGCCGGCGGCGGUGUCCGGAGCGUCGGCGCACCUGCACUUCUACAUGCACGACGUGCUGACUGGCCCGGCGCCGACGGCGGUGCAGGUGAUGGACGGGCCACGCAGCCACUUCGGCGACACGAUCGUGAUCGACGACGCGCUGACGGAGACCUCGUCGGCGACGUCGACGGGCGUGGGGCGCGCGCAGGGGCAGUACGUGUGGGCCUCGAGGGGGAACCCGGAGCUGCUGGUCACCAUGGACGUGGUGCUCACGUCGGGCCCCUACGCGGGGUCCUCCGUGACGGUGGUGGGCCGGGACGACAUCGGCGCGGCGGUGCAGGAGCUCUCGGUGGUCGGCGGCACCGGGCAGUUCAGGAUGGCUACAGGGUACGUGCUGUGGAAGACCGUCCGGCUGGACCACCCCAACGCCGUCCUUGAGCUCGAUGUCUUCGUCAACCCGUGA
This 504-nucleotide ribosomal RNA is filed under the name Triticum aestivum (bread wheat). RNAcentral's name for it is "partial small subunit ribosomal RNA". Lineage: Eukaryota; Viridiplantae; Streptophyta; Magnoliopsida; Poales; Poaceae. The record is from RNAcentral.